This 235-nucleotide ribosomal RNA is filed under the name uncultured bacterium. Its description in RNAcentral is "partial 16S ribosomal RNA". It matches the Rfam family "Bacterial small subunit ribosomal RNA", at positions 99 to 334 of the family's 1533-position model. The record is from RNAcentral.
CGGACGGGUGAGUAACGCGUGGGUAACCUGCCUCACACUGGGGGACAACAGUUAGAAAUGACUGCUAAUACCGCAUAAGCGCACAGGACCGCAUGGUCCGGUGUGAAAAACUCCGGUGGUGUGAGAUGGACCCGCGUUUGAUUAGCUAGUUGGUGGGGUAACGGCCUACCAAGGCGACGAUCGGUAGCUGGUCUGAGAGGACGACCAGCCACACUGGGACUGAGACACGGCCCAG